AUUGAACGCUGGCGGCAGGCCUAACACAUGCAAGUCGAACGGUAACAGGAAACAGCUUGCUGUUUCGCUGACGAGUGGCGGACGGGUGAGUAAUGUCUGGGAAACUGCCUGAUGGAGGGGGAUAACUACUGGAGACGGUAGCUAAUACCGCAUAACGUCGCAAGACCAAAGAGGGGGACCUUCGGGCCUCUUGCCAUCGGAUGUGCCCAGAUGGGAUUAGCUAGUAGGUGGGGUAACGGCUCACCUAGGCGACGAUCCCUAGCUGGUCUGAGAGGAUGACCAGCCACACUGGAACUGAGACACGGUCCAGACUCCUACGGGAGGCAGCAGUGGGGAAUAUUGCACAAUGGGCGCAAGCCUGAUGCAGCCAUGCCGCGUGUAUGAAGAAGGCCUUCGGGUUGUAAAGUACUUUCAGCGGGGAUGAAGGGAGUAAAGUUAAUACCUUGGCUCAUUGACGUUACCCGCAGAAGAAGCACCGGCUAACUCCGUG
Molecule: ribosomal RNA, 490 nt
Filed under: uncultured bacterium
Lineage: Bacteria
Description: partial 16S ribosomal RNA
Rfam family: Bacterial small subunit ribosomal RNA
Source: RNAcentral